AUUGAACGCUGGCGGCAGGCCUAACACAUGCAAGUCGAACGGUAACAGGAAGCAGCUUGCUGCUUCGCUGACGAGUGGCGGACGGGUGAGUAAUGUCUGGGAAACUGCCUGAUGGAGGGGGAUAACUACUGGAAACGGUAGCUAAUACCGCAUAACGUCGCAAGACCAAAGAGGGGGACCUUCGGGCCUCUUGCCAUCGGAUGUGCCCAGAUGGGAUUAGCUUGUUGGUGGGGUAACGGCGCACCAAGGCGACGAUCCCUAGCUGGUCUGAGAGGAUGACCAGCCACACUGGAACUGAGACACGGUCCAGACUCCUACGGGAGGCAGCAGUGGGGAAUAUUGCACAAUGGGCGCAAGCCUGAUGCAGCCAUGCCGCGUGUAUGAAGAAGGCCUUCGGGUUGUAAAGUACUUUCAGCGGGGAGGAAGGGAGUAAAGUUAAUACCUUUGCUCAUUGACGUUACCCGCAGAAGAAGCACCGGCUAACUCCGUGCCAGCAGCCGCAGUAA
RNAcentral lists this ribosomal RNA (506 nucleotides) under uncultured bacterium. RNAcentral's name for it is "partial 16S ribosomal RNA". It matches the Rfam family "Bacterial small subunit ribosomal RNA", at positions 30 to 523 of the family's 1533-position model. The record is from RNAcentral.